AGCGAACGCUGGCGGCAGGCUUAACACAUGCAAGUCGAGCGGGCACUUCGGUGUCAGCGGUAGACGGGUGAGUAACACGUGGGAACGUACCCUUCGGUUCGGAAUAACGCUGGGAAACUAGCGCUAAUACCGGAUACGCCCUUUUGGGGAAAGGUUUACUGCCGAAGGAUCGGCCCGCGUCUGAUUAGCUAGUUGGUGGGGUAAUGGCCUACCAAGGCGACGAUCAGUAGCUGGUCUGAGAGGAUGAUCAGCCACACUGGGACUGAGACACGGCCCAGACUCCUACGGGAAGCAGCAGUGGGGAAUAUUGGACAAUGGGCGCAAGCCUGAUCCAGCCAUGCCGCGUGAGUGAUGAAGGCCUUAGGGUUGUAAAGCUCUUUUGUCCGGGACGAUAAUGACGGUACCGGAAGAAUAAGCCCCGGCUAACUUCGUG
RNAcentral lists this ribosomal RNA (433 nucleotides) under uncultured bacterium. RNAcentral describes it as "partial 16S ribosomal RNA". It matches the Rfam family "Bacterial small subunit ribosomal RNA", at positions 29 to 507 of the family's 1533-position model. The record is from RNAcentral.